GUAAGUUUGGUUGUAGUAGAGUUUCAAGAUGGAUGACAGCGGGUGGGAUACUUUAUCUAGCGUUUGCCGAAUGCUAAUGUAGGACGUUUGCAAACCUCUGCUAGCAAGAAAAUUAUCAAGGGUAACGUUAGUCGUCCACUACGCUUGCUUUACUUGAGCCUGUCAAUGGUCAGGCUAAUUGUGAAACCUGCUCAAUCUAGGAGAAAUCUUUUAGAGUUGACUUGUAACUUAUUCCCUGUUGGAUGUGUGUAGUCUUAUAGAUGAAAGAACUCCUCUAGUUUUACAUGUCCAGUGUCUUUUAUAUCUAAUAUUAAUCGUGCAGCUCAAUGAAAACGCUGCAUGGAAACUUAAAUAGUUUGUUCCUGUAUGUUUCCGUCCUGAUGAAGACCUGAUGAGGUCCAAACCGGUUGGCGUCUUUUUACUGAGAUGCCCUGUUACAGAGUUUGAUGCUGUUACUACAUUAAUGUGACUAGUAAGCAGGGCCGGCCCGUGGCAUAGGCAGUAUAGGCAAAUGCUAAGGGCGCCGUACAUCC
Molecule: long non-coding RNA, 533 nt
Organism: Monopterus albus (swamp eel)
Lineage: Eukaryota; Metazoa; Chordata; Actinopteri; Synbranchiformes; Synbranchidae
Exons: 3
Source: RefSeq, a predicted model, not a curated record